This 254-nucleotide ribosomal RNA is filed under the name uncultured microorganism. RNAcentral describes it as "partial 16S ribosomal RNA". It matches the Rfam family "Archaeal small subunit ribosomal RNA", at positions 474 to 727 of the family's 1478-position model. The record is from RNAcentral.
UACCGGCGGCCCGAGUGGCGGGCACUAUUAUUGGGCUUAAAGCGUCCGUAGCCGGGUUGGGAAGUCCUCCGGGAAAUCUGGCCGCUUAACGGUCAGAAUGCCGGAGGAUACUCCCAGCCUAGGGAGCGGGAGAGGCCAAGGGUAUUCCCGGAGUAGGGGUGAAAUCCUAUAAUCCCGGGAGGACCACCUGUGGCGAAGGCGCUCGGCUGGAACGCGUCCGACGGUGAGGGACGAAGGCCAGGGGAGCAAACCGG